CGGUGAAUACGUUCCCGGACCUUGCACACACCGCCCGUCAAGGCCAUGGAGGCUGGGUGUACCUAAAGUCGGUAACCGGUAAGGAGCCGCCUAGGGUAAACUAGUGACUGGGGCU
This 115-nucleotide ribosomal RNA is filed under the name uncultured bacterium. Its description in RNAcentral is "partial 16S ribosomal RNA". It matches the Rfam family "Bacterial small subunit ribosomal RNA", at positions 1360 to 1482 of the family's 1533-position model. The record is from RNAcentral.